UACGUAGGGUGCGAGCGUUAAUCGGAAUUACUGGGCGUAAAGGGCGCGUAGGCGGCCAUCUAAGUCAGACGUGAAAUCCCCCGGCUUAACCUGGGAACUGCGUCUGAUACUGGACGGCUUGAGUAUGGGAGAGGGAUGUAGAAUUCCAGGUGUAGCGGUGAAAUGCGUAGAUAUCUGGAGGAAUACCGGUGGCGAAGGCGGCAUCCUGGACCAUUACUGACGCUGAGGCGCGAAAGCUAGGGGAGCAAACGGG
RNAcentral lists this ribosomal RNA (253 nucleotides) under uncultured bacterium. RNAcentral describes it as "partial 16S ribosomal RNA". It matches the Rfam family "Bacterial small subunit ribosomal RNA", at positions 524 to 776 of the family's 1533-position model. The record is from RNAcentral.